RNAcentral lists this ribosomal RNA (429 nucleotides) under Gemmatimonadota bacterium. Its description in RNAcentral is "Gemmatimonadetes bacterium partial 16S ribosomal RNA". It matches the Rfam family "Bacterial small subunit ribosomal RNA", at positions 355 to 776 of the family's 1533-position model. Lineage: Bacteria; Pseudomonadati; Gemmatimonadota. The record is from RNAcentral.
UAGGGAAUCUUCGGCAAUGGACGAAAGUCUGACCGAGCAACGCCGCGUGAGUGAAGAAGGUUUUCGGAUCGUAAAACUCUGUUGUUAGAGAAGAACAAGGACGUUAGUAACUGAACGUCCCCUGACGGUAUCUAACCAGAAAGCCACGGCUAACUACGUGCCAGCAGCCGCGGUAAUACGUAGGUGGCAAGCGUUGUCCGGAUUUAUUGGGCGUAAAGCGAGCGCAGGCGGUUUCUUAAGUCUGAUGUGAAAGCCCCCGGCUCAACCGGGGAGGGUCAUUGGAAACUGGGAGACUUGAGGGCAGAAGAGGAGAGUGGAAUUCCAUGUGUAGCGGUGAGAUGCGUAGAUAUAUGGAGGAACACCAGUGGCGAAGGCGGCUCUCUGGUCGGUAACUGACGCUGAGGCUCGAAAGCGUGGGGAGCAAACAGG